AUCGAACGCUGGCGGCAGGCCUAACACAUGCAAGUCGAGCGGAUGAAGGGAGCUUGCUCCUGGAUUCAGCGGCGGACGGGUGAGUAAUGCCUAGGAAUCUGCCUGGUAGUGGGGGAUAACGUCCGGAAACGGGCGCUAAUACCGCAUACGUCCUGAGGGAGAAAGUGGGGGAUCUUCGGACCUCACGCUAUCAGAUGAGCCUAGGUCGGAUUAGCUAGUUGGUGGGGUAAAGGCCUACCAAGGCGACGAUCCGUAACUGGUCUGAGAGGAUGAUGGGUAACACUGGAACUGGGAACGGGUCCAGACUCCUACGGGAGGCGGCGGGGGGGAAUUUUGGCAAAUGAGGAAAGGCCGGAUGCGGACCUGCCGGGGGGUGGAGAAAGGUCUUCGGAUGGUAAAGCACGUUAAGUUGGGAGAAAGGGCAGUAAGUUAAUACCUUGCUGUUUUGACGUUACCGGCAGAAUAAGCACCGGCUAACUACGUG
This 484-nucleotide ribosomal RNA is filed under the name uncultured bacterium. RNAcentral's name for it is "partial 16S ribosomal RNA". It matches the Rfam family "Bacterial small subunit ribosomal RNA", at positions 29 to 507 of the family's 1533-position model. The record is from RNAcentral.